UGAGAGGUGAAGGGAUUUGCCCACAAUCACAGAGGUUUGGGGUAGAGUCCCAGUUAGAAUUCCAGUCCCCUGUGCUUUCCUCUGCCCCGCCAGGCUUUGUGACUCCUACUUGUUCCUGUUUCUCUUCCAGGAAGAGACACUUUAGUAAGUGCAGUUAUUUCCUGGACUUUUGCCACCAUCCUUCCCUCAUGAGCCGUGAGGAGCAUACAGGUCACAACAUACACUAGAUGACUAAUUGUGGGCUCAAACUGUCACCAGCCACACUGCAGAGCAGAGCUCCAUCCUUGAAAGCCAAAUGCCAUAUUCUGGGUAUUUUUUGUUUUUGUUUUCCUCAAUGGGGCUAUCUUUUUGUAUGUUACUAUUACGAAAGUAAUAUAUGUUCCUUAUAAAACACUAAACAUCCUGGAAAUGUAUACAGUAGAAGGUGGAAUUUCCUCUCUCCUCUCAUAAUCCCAUUUCCCCAAGAAAACCAUUAUCCCGCCAGACUUUAAAAGAAAUGCAUGUGUAUGUAUGCCCAGACAUUUUCUGCUGCAAGGCUCUCAGGCCCCUCAGAAUGUCCUCCAGUUCUUUCUGGAAGUCACCAGAAGGGUGCCUCAACUGUGUCGGUAAGCCUGUCUGUUGGUUGUGUCUCCAUAUGGCAACCUGUCUGUUUCCCUUGUUCCCUGCUUCUUGUGUGUCUGCUGCUCAUGGAAGCUUGGAAAAGUUAACAGACGCCAAACACCAAAGUCCAUGCCAUGGGUGCUGUCUCCAAAGUUUCCAAUUUUUUUUUUUUAAACUUUGCCCAGCCUUUUGAGGCCUGUUUAUUGACAUGCGCAGACCUAUACCCGCGGGGCCUGGAACUUCUCCUCAGCACCACCGCCAGGCCCAUCAGGAACUUAUCCCACUCCGUCAGUAUCUCCACUGUGAACUUGCCCUGCAACAAGAUCGGACACUGGACAGCAGUGGGAAGUUGGUGGGGCCAAGCGUAGCCCGCGUGCAGGCUGUCCACAUGCCGCAUGGUCAUGCCCACCGCCCCCAGCAUGCGUGGCCCGUGGCUCAGCAGCUGCGCCUUGUCAGGGUGGCUGCCCAGGGCCUUGAAGCAGGCCUUGGUGCGGGGGUACACCGUGAGGAGGCUGCGGGAGCAGGGGCGAGUGGGGAGGGCGAUCCCUCCAGCGCCUGCACCUCAAAGUUACCAAUUCUUGUUCGGCAGAGUUGGGAUGUUGAGUUUCAGGCAGAGCUGGGGAAAGGGCCACCUGCUCACUGUGUGCCAGCCACCCUUUGUCACUGGGGGCCCCAAGCCUGCUCUGCUUAUAUCCUCAGUCUCAAGACAUCUCUACCGAAUGGUCCCAUCAGCUUCUCUGCUAAAGCCUCUUGCAGGGGCCGCAAAUUCAGUCUGGGGGUCAAGUGGAAGGGGAGAUGCUCUUCCCUCUCAUUGCUCUUUUCCGUUUUUUCUGCCUCUGCCCACCCUCACAAACAAAAGUCUCUUCCCUCCUGUCCUUUAUCUUCAAAGAGUUUAUAUUAAUGUGUAGAA
This is a non-coding RNA of Delphinapterus leucas (beluga whale), 1510 nucleotides long. The record is from RefSeq and is a predicted model, not a curated record. NCBI's taxonomy places the organism in Eukaryota, Metazoa, Chordata, Mammalia, Artiodactyla, Monodontidae.